CUUCAGAGCAAAUGAGCUGAGAGGGAUUAAGAGAGAGAGAGCCGGCAGGAGCAAAGAGGAGGCUGCAGUGCCUUUUGUGACCUCACCUUAGCAGUCACACUCCUCCAUUUCUGCAGUGUCCUGCUGGCUACCCUCUUCAGUGUGGGCAGGUCCUACACGAAGGUGUGAACACCAGGUGGAGAUUGGUGGGAGCCAUCUUGGACGCUGACUUAUGGCUACCACAAGCAUCAUCUUUAUUUUACAGGUUGAAUAAACGUGAUACCAGGUGGAAGCUCAGAUCUACACGAGGAAUGAAGAAUGCCGGAAAUCAUAAAUAUGCCUAAGUGGGUCAGAUCCCAGCUCUGCGUUCAAACCACAGCCCAGCCACUUAUUAGCAGUGUGAUUUUGAGCACUUGAUUAAAUGUCUCUAAGCCUCAGUUUUUUCUCAUAAAAUGAGAAUAAUAGGAUGCCUACCUCCUUCAGUCCCUGAGACUAUCGCAGAAGAUAUUGUAUGGAGCAGGACUGUUUCCCUCGGUUUGGGCAUCUCCUUCCGGCAGGCUUGCCUGAAGAGGCACCAAGUCAGCCUCCAGCAGCGCCAAGCUCAUAGCCCACUCGUACAGUAGAGCCAAAGAAAGGCAAUUUCUCUUUCCCAAUAGUUUCAGCGACUAUUCACGCUGCUUGGCCGCUUUGGGUCACACGCCCAUCUCUGCACCAACCCCUGACUCUGAUUGGCCAGGCCUGCCUUGUAUACCCUCCUUGGAUCACAGGGGUGGAAGAAAGAUGGUUUCCUAAAGGUAAACUGGAUGCUGUACUGUCAUAGAUGCUGAACUGCCAGAACCCAUGGACAUUUAGGACUCGAGUAAAUCACAGGACAAUAAGAGCAACCAAGUACGGCCUCGUCCAAGUACAGCUUUGCAGGUUUUCUGCCCUCUUUUCUGGAAGGUGCACAAUGCUCGGCUCUGUGGUUAUUUUCGCCUAACAGCUGUGUUUCCGGUGAGCAGCUGGGAGAUGCUUCUGACUCAGCAGAACUGGAGCAGUAACCGUCAAGAAGCCGCUCAAGCGAGGCUAGAAAUCAAGAAGCAGUUUCCCCCUCAGUCCCCGUCCUUUCACUUCCCCACCCGUGGGCACCUUUUGAAAGUCUCACAGAGCACUUCUGAAAAACCGCUUGGACCCGCGUGCUCGAGGCCUGGCUGGAGGUGGGCCCGCAGCUAGGCUUUCCGAAAACAGAUGGAUUCCGGAAAGGACUGUGCCAAACCCACCGGCUUUGUUUGGAAGGCCCCUCCCAGGAGGCCCCCCCUUCCCCGCGCGGCUUGUAUCUUACAAGUUUCCCACAGGUCUGAGCAGUGAAAGCAGAGGCGGUCGGGACUUCUGUGGUUUUCCAGGGUGGGGCCCAUGUUGCCUUCCCCAGGCUGGGGUGGCUUAGGUUCUGCAGCUCGCCUGUUUUUCAGAGGUGAUGAUUUCGCCCUGGGUCUGGGAGGCGGCUCCAAAUUUCUACCCACUGGCCCUGGAUUCCAGCCCUGACCUCGAGGGGGGCGCUAGAAGUCCUGCCCGCAGCGGGAAGGGAGCAAACCAGAGAGGACCUGGCGUCCUGGAGAGCUGGCCUCUGUGCAUGCUGGUGCCUGCAAAGGGCUCACGGGAGAGGGAGACAGCUGCACCCGGAGCGCCUUGCUGCUGUUCCGAGAAAGAAAGGAACAAAUAAAUUUAGCUCCAACCUACGCAUCCUUCACAGCUGCUUAUUGACCAAACAGAAAGGGGCCUCUCUUUCAACCCUGGCUUCUCAGCUCUGUGCCCAAGGAGGUCUGCCACGGCCCGCACAAGGGGCUUUUCUGGGAGGUAACCGACCCCGGCCACCUUUAGCUCUGGGCUGGGCGUUGCACAAGAGCUCAGGUUCAAGGUGCGUGGUGCUUUUGGCCAUCCUGAAACAAAAUGGUGGCCGGGAAGCGUUUCCACCCGGGCCUUGCUCAGCUCCUGGAACUUCUCAUGCGCGUCUUUGGGAGGCAGAGCAUGGGGCAGGCUUGAGGGAUGUGUGGCUGCUCCAAGGCCAGCCGAUAGCUCCCUGAGCCAUUAGUUUAAUAGCACCAUUCGUGGGAAUAAAGAACUCGCUGACGGGGGUCCGCAAGUUAAGAGACUGGAACGAAGUGCUGAAGAGGUUUCAGGCAGCUCGCCAGUGUGGAGGGGCUCCUGUGGGACAGGGAGGGCCGGCCCUGUGCUUCCAGUCACCGGAGUCUGGCUCAAGUCCUAGCUCCACCGCCUAAGGGCAGGGUGCCUCUGGGCAGGGAGAGCUGGCUCCUCACCUGGAAGUGAGAUGCUGGCCGUGACACUGGGCCCUUCUGAGCCUUGGCUCCUUACCUGGGAAGCAGAGAUAGUGUUCUAAGCUUGUCAUGAGGAUUAAAGGACAUCGUGUCCCGAGCAUGCCUGGCCCAGUUCUUGGUGUGCCAGGAGGGCCUGUGGUAACUGUUUCACCUGCCCGGGCCUGUUGUCUUCCCUUCUGGCCACGGCGUCCCACUGUCUCUCCUCCUGCUCUUCUCCAUAAGAUUUGGGGAUCACCUUACUCUCAAACUCUGAAGAUGAGCACGUAGCCCAGGCCAAAUCAUGGACAGUCCCACACACCCCUGGCCAUAGUGAUUAGUUUCUGGAUGUGCAUGGGACCCAAGCUGGGACAAUCAGAGCCAACUUUAGGAAUGUUAUUGGAACUAUUAGGACAGAGAAAAUCUUUCUUCUGGGUUUCUAAGAGGUCAAGGUUUAAAUGUGGUGCUGCUGGUGGCUGUCUUUGUAUAAAGGAGGGAAGAAUCUGCCAACAGGAGAAGGAAGCCAACAGAGAGAAAAACAAACAUGAGGUGACUGUGUCCUGACCAUUUGACCCCUUGAUCCAGCCAUACCUGAACCCAUCACUCCUUAAACUUCCCAGUUAUCUGAG
This 2896-nucleotide long non-coding RNA is filed under the name Equus caballus (horse). RNAcentral describes it as "lncRNA (ENSECAG00000052141.1)". Lineage: Eukaryota; Metazoa; Chordata; Mammalia; Perissodactyla; Equidae. The record is from RNAcentral.